AUUGAACGCUGGCGGAAUGCUUUACACAUGCAAGUCGAACGGUAGAGGGGGCAACCCCUUGAGAGUGGCGAACGGGUGAGUAAUAUAUCGGAACGUGCCCAGUCGUGGGGAUAACGUAGCGAAAGUUACGCUAAUACCGCAUACGAUCUAAGGAUGAAAGCGGGGGAUCGCAAGACCUCGCGCGAUUGGAGCGGCCGAUAUCAGAUUAGGUAGUUGGUGGGGUAAAGGCUCACCAAGCCAACGAUCUGUAGCUGGUCUGAGAGGACGACCAGCCACACUGGAACUGAGACACGGUCCAGACUCCUACGGGAGGCAGCAGUGGGGAAUAUUGGACAAUGGGCGCAAGCCUGAUCCAGCCAUGCCGCGUGUGUGAAGAAGGCCUCGGUUGUAAGUACACUUUCUAGCGAGGAGGAAGGGUUAGUAGU
Molecule: ribosomal RNA, 425 nt
Filed under: uncultured bacterium
Lineage: Bacteria
Description: bacterial SSU rRNA
Rfam family: Bacterial small subunit ribosomal RNA
Source: RNAcentral